This 257-nucleotide ribosomal RNA is filed under the name uncultured bacterium. RNAcentral's name for it is "partial 16S ribosomal RNA". It matches the Rfam family "Bacterial small subunit ribosomal RNA", at positions 96 to 354 of the family's 1533-position model. The record is from RNAcentral.
UGGCGGACGGGUGAGUAACGCGUGGGUAACCUGCCUUACACAGGGGAUAACACUUAGAAAUAGGUGCUAAAACCGCAUAAGCGCACAGCUUCGCAUGAAGCGGUGUAGAAAACUCCGGUGGUGUAAGAUGGACCCGCGUCUGAUUAGCUUGUUGGCGGGGUAACGGCCCACCAAGGCGACGAUCAGUAGCCGGCCUGAGAGGGCGGACGGCCACAUUGGGACUGAGACACGGCCCAGACUCCUACGGAAGGCAGCAG